Molecule: ribosomal RNA, 1429 nt
Filed under: uncultured organism
Description: 16S ribosomal RNA
Rfam family: Bacterial small subunit ribosomal RNA
Source: RNAcentral
CAGGCUUAACACAUGCAAGUCGAGGGGCAGCAUGGUCUUAGCUUGCUAAGGCCGAUGGCGACCGGCGCACGGGUGAGUAACACGUAUCCAACCUGCCGUCUACUCUUGGACAGCCUUCUGAAAGGAAGAUUAAUACAAGAUGGCAUCAUGAGUCCGCAUGUUCACAUGAUUAAAGGUAUUCCGGUAGACGAUGGGGAUGCGUUCCAUUAGAUAGUAGGCGGGGUAACGGCCCACCUAGUCUUCGAUGGAUAGGGGUUCUGAGAGGAAGGUCCCCCACAUUGGAACUGAGACACGGUCCAAACUCCUACGGGAGGCAGCAGUGAGGAAUAUUGGUCAAUGGGCGAGAGCCUGAACCAGCCAAGUAGCGUGAAGGAUGACUGCCCUAUGGGUUGUAAACUUCUUUUAUAAAGGAAUAAAGUCGGGUAUGGAUACCCGUUUGCAUGUACUUUAUGAAUAAGGAUCGGCUAACUCCGUGCCAGCAGCCGCGGUAAUACGGAGGAUCCGAGCGUUAUCCGGAUUUAUUGGGUUUAAAGGGAGCGUAGAUGGAUGUUUAAGUCAGUUGUGAAAGUUUGCGGCUCAACCGUAAAAUUGCAGUUGAUACUGGAUAUCUUGAGUGCAGUUGAGGCAGGCGGAAUUCGUGGUGUAGCGGUGAAAUGCUUAGAUAUCACGAAGAACUCCGAUUGCGAAGGCAGCCUGCUAAGCUGCAACUGACAUUGAGGCUCGAAAGUGUGGGUAUCAAACAGGAUUAGAUACCCUGGUAGUCCACACGGUAAACGAUGAAUACUCGCUGUUUGCGAUAUACUGCAAGCGGCCAAGCGAAAGCGUUAAGUAUUCCCACCUGGGGAGUACGCCGGCAACGGUGAAACUCAAAGGAAUUGACGGGGGCCCGCACAAGCGGAGGAACAUGUGGUUUAAUUCGAUGAUACGCGAGGAACCUUACCCGGGCUUAAAUUGCAGAUGAAUUACGGUGAAAGCCGUAAGCCGCAAGGCAUCUGUGAAGGUGCUGCAUGGUUGUCGUCAGCUCGUGCCGUGAGGUGUCGGCUUAAGUGCCAUAACGAGCGCAACCCUUGUUGUCAGUUACUAACAGGUUCCGCUGAGGACUCUGACAAGACUGCCAUCGUAAGAUGUGAGGAAGGUGGGGAUGACGUCAAAUCAGCACGGCCCUUACGUCCGGGGCUACACACGUGUUACAAUGGGGGGUACAGAGGGCCGCUACCACGCGAGUGGAUGCCAAUCCCCAAAACCUCUCUCAGUUCGGACUGGAGUCUGCAACCCGACUCCACGAAGCUGGAUUCGCUAGUAAUCGCGCAUCAGCCACGGCGCGGUGAAUACGUUCCCGGGCCUUGUACACACCGCCCGUCAAGCCAUGGGAGCCGGGGGUACCUGAAGUGCGUAACCGAGAGGAGCGCCCUAGGGUAAAACUGGUGAC